GGGGAAUAUUGCACAAUGGAGGGAACUCUGAUGCAGCGACGCCGCGUGAACGAUGAAGGCUUUAGAGUCGUAAAGUUCUUUUAUAUGGGAAGAUAAUGACGGUACCAUAAGAAAAAGCCCCGGCUAACUACGUGCCAGCAGCCGCGGUAAUACGUAAGGGGCUAGCGUUGUCCGGAAUCACUGGGCGUAAAGGGUUCGCAGGCGGAAAUGCAAGUCAGAUGUAAAAGGCAGUAGCUUAACUACUGUAAGCAUUUGAAACUGCAUAUCUUGAGAAGAGUAGAGGUAAGUGGAAUUUUUAGUGUAGCGGUGAAAUGCGUAGAUAUUAAAAAGAAUACCGGUGGCGAAGGCGACUUACUGGGCUCAUUCUGACGCUGAGGAACGAAAGCGUGGGUAGCAAACAGGAUUAGAUACCCUGGUAGUCCACGCUGUAAACGAUGAGUGCUAGGUAUCGGAAUAAUUCGGUGCCGCAGUUAACACAUUAAGCACUCCGCCUGGGGAGUACGUGCGCAAGCAUG
Molecule: ribosomal RNA, 515 nt
Filed under: uncultured bacterium
Lineage: Bacteria
Description: bacterial SSU rRNA
Rfam family: Bacterial small subunit ribosomal RNA
Source: RNAcentral